RNAcentral lists this ribosomal RNA (637 nucleotides) under uncultured Pansomonadida. RNAcentral describes it as "bacterial SSU rRNA". It matches the Rfam family "Eukaryotic small subunit ribosomal RNA", at positions 493 to 1128 of the family's 1831-position model. Lineage: Eukaryota; Cercozoa. The record is from RNAcentral.
UUUUUAGGUCUGGUAAUUGAAAUGAGUACAAUUUAAAUCCCUUAACGAAUGCAAUUGGAGGGCAAGUCUGGUGCCAGCAGCCGCGGUAAUUCCAGCUCCAAUANCGUAUAUUAAAGUUGCUGCANUUAAAAAGCUCGUANUUGGAUUUCUGGCGUGGCGCAUCUGGCCCGCUGCGGUUACGUAGUGAGUGUCGGUUUGUGCCUGCCAUCCUUCAAGAGAGCAUAUCUACUCUUAACUGAGCCGGAUAUGUUAUCUUGAUCUUUUACUUUGAAAAAAUUAGAGUGUUUAAAGCAGGCUUAUGCUAUGAAUACAUUAGCAUGGAAUAACAAUUUAGGACUUCGGUUCUAUUUUGUUGGUUUCUAGGACUGAAGUAAUGAUUGAUAGGGAUAGUUGGGGGUGCUCGUAUUCAGUGGCCAGAGGUGAAAUUCUUGGAUUCACUGAAGACGAACUUAUGCGAAAGCAUUCACCAAGGAUGUCUUCUUUAAUCAAGAACNAAAGUUGGGGGAUCGAAGAUGAUCAGAUACCGUCGUAGUCUCAACCAUAAACUAUACCGACUAGGGAUGAGUGAAAGUUGUAUUUUCGACUUCAUUCGCACCUUAUGAGAAAUCAAAGUCUUUGGGUUCCGGGGGGAGUAUGG